GCUUGGGGCAUGAGUUCUUGGUGUUGAAAAAUAGAGGAAGGUCCUCUUCUCUUUGGGUGAGCAAAAGAAAAACCUAGAAACCCUAGAUUUGAUCUUAAGGGUUUGGGAAGAGAGAAGAACAAGAGGAAAAUUUGUUUCUUCUCCAUGUUUCUUCCACCUCUUCAUCUUCUCUAGAAGUCCUUCUUCAAUCUUUGAAAAGAUUUCAGAGAUUUGAAAAAAAGAUCCAGAUCAGCCAAGAAGAAGUCUUCACAUGAACUAGUAU
Molecule: long non-coding RNA, 262 nt
Filed under: Elaeis guineensis (African oil palm)
Lineage: Eukaryota; Viridiplantae; Streptophyta; Magnoliopsida; Arecales; Arecaceae
Description: long non-coding RNA (EGUI_LNC051520)
Source: RNAcentral